GGGGGUGUGGAGCGCCAGCGAGCCCAAGGUCUCCCUGGCGAGCAUGGCAGGACUGGAGGGCUCCAGGCAGGGCUCCUCGGCGUCCCUCGGGGCCCCGACGGAGGUGCCGGAGAUCUUCCGGCUACAAACCCGGGCAGGUGGAGCUCGUUAGCCGUGGUAGGCAAUCUGCCUAGGAGAGCAAACUCUAAACAAACCCAGGCAGGUGAGGUUCGUUAGCCGUGGGAGGCAAUUCACCUAGGAGAGCAAACUCUAUACAAACCCGGGCAGGUGGAGGUCGUUAGCCGUGGUAGGCAAUUCACCUAGGAGAGCAAACUCUAAACAAACCCGGGCAGGUGGAGGUCGUUAGCCGUGGGAGGCAAUUCACCUAGGAGAGCAAACUCUAAACAAACCCGGGCAGGUGGAGGUCGUUAGCCGUGGGAGGCAAUUCACCUAGGAGAGCAAACUCUAAACAAACCCGGGCAGGUGAGGCUCGUUAGCCGUGGUAGGCAGUUCACCUAGGAGAGCAAACUCUAAACAAACCCGGGCAGGUGGGGCUCGUUAGCCGUGGUAGGCAAUUCACCUAGGAGAGCAAACUCCGAACAACAAACCCGGGCAGGUGGGGCUCGUUAGCCGUGGUAGGCAGUUCACCUAGGAGAGCAAACUCCGAACAACAAACCCGGGCAUGUAGAGGUCGUCAGCCGUGGUAGGCAGUUCACCUAGGAGAGCAAACUCCGAACAAUAAACCCGGCCAGGUGGAGGUCGUCAGCCGUGGUAGGCAAUCUGCCUAGGAGAGCAAACUCCGAACAAUAAACCCGGCCAGGUGGAGGUCGUCAGCCGUGGUAGGCAAUCUGCCUAGGAGAGCAAACUCCGAACAAUAAACCCGGGCAGGUGGAGGUCGUCAGCCGUGGUAGGCAAUCUGCCUAGGAGAGCAAACUCUAAACAAACCCGGGCUUGUGGUGCUCGUUAUACUGUCGUAGACAAUCCACGCGAUGGGAACACCAAAGAAAAGGAAAAUAAAAAGGAACACCAGAAAAAUGGAAAAUACAGAAACGAAACAUCAAGAAAAGAAACAAAAAGAUCAUCCACCUUUAGGCCCUAACAUCGCCAAAAUUAUGGAUGGGUCUCUUCUGGGGAGAAAGCGGCUCAUCCAGACCAAAGAACAUCAACCAAAGGAUGAUAUGAAUAAAUGAAAUAAAAAAAACAAAGAAAAACACAUCAAGGAAAGAAAAAUAUAACAAACAUCAUCCACCUUCCGGCCCUGACUAACAUCACCAAAAUUAUGGGUGGGUCUCUUCUGGGGAGAAAGCGGCUCACCCAGACCAAAGAACAUCAACAAGGGAUGAUAUAGAAAAGAACACCAAAAAAAAUGGAAAAAGAACAGAAAAACAUCGAAAAAGAAAAGCAACAUAAAUAAAUGAACAACAUCAAGAAAAGAGAAAUACAAAGCAUCAUCAUCCACCUUUCGGUCCCAAACAACAUCACCAAAAUUAUGGAUGGGUCUCUUCUGGGAGGAAAGCGGCUCAUCCAGACCAAGGAACAUCAACAAAAGGAUGAUAGGAAAAAAGAACACCAAAAAAGAACACCAAAAAAGAA
Eriocheir sinensis (Chinese mitten crab) is the source of this 1572-nucleotide long non-coding RNA. RefSeq lists it as uncharacterized. The record is from RefSeq and is a predicted model, not a curated record. NCBI's taxonomy places the organism in Eukaryota, Metazoa, Arthropoda, Malacostraca, Decapoda, Varunidae. The transcript is spliced from 4 exons.